RNAcentral lists this ribosomal RNA (1354 nucleotides) under uncultured Alphaproteobacteria bacterium. RNAcentral describes it as "bacterial SSU rRNA". It matches the Rfam family "Bacterial small subunit ribosomal RNA", at positions 28 to 1381 of the family's 1533-position model. Lineage: Bacteria; Pseudomonadati; Pseudomonadota; Alphaproteobacteria. The record is from RNAcentral.
AUUGAACGCUGGCGGCAGGCUUAACACAUGCAAGUCGAACGAUGAUUAUCUAGCUUGCUAGAUAUGAUUAGUGGCGGACGGGUGAGUAACAUUUAGGAAUCUGCCUAGUAGUGGGGGAUAGCUCGGGGAAACUCGAAUUAAUACCGCAUACGACCUACGGGUGAAAGGGGGCGCAAGCUCUUGCUAUUAGAUGAGCCUAAAUCAGAUUAGCUAGUUGGUGGGGUAAAGGCCCACCAAGGCGACGAUCUGUAACUGGUCUGAGAGGAUGAUCAGUCACACCGGAACUGAGACACGGUCCGGACUCCUACGGGAGGCAGCAGUGGGGAAUAUUGGACAAUGGGGGCAACCCUGAUCCAGCCAUGCCGCGUGUGUGAAGAAGGCCUUUUGGUUGUAAAGCACUUUAAGCAGGGAGGAGAGGCUAAUGGUUAAUACCCAUUAGAUUAGACGUUACCUGCAGAAUAAGCACCGGCUAACUCUGUGCCAGCAGCCGCGGUAAUACAGAGGGUGCGAGCGUUAAUCGGAAUUACUGGGCGUAAAGCGAGUGUAGGUGGCUCAUUAAGUCACAUGUGAAAUCCCCGGGCUUAACCUGGGAACUGCAUGUGAUACUGGUGGUGCUAGAAUAUGUGAGAGGGAAGUAGAAUUCCAGGUGUAGCGGUGAAAUGCGUAGAGAUCUGGAGGAAUACCGAUGGCGAAGGCAGCUUCCUGGCAUAAUAUUGACACUGAGAUUCGAAAGCGUGGGUAGCAAACAGGAUUAGAUACCCUGGUAGUCCACGCCGUAAACGAUGUCUACUAGCCGUUGGGGUCCUUGAGACUUUAGUGGCGCAGUAACGCGAUAAGUAGACCGCCUGGGGAGUACGGCCGCAAGGUUAAAACUCAAAUGAAUUGACGGGGGCCCGCACAAGCGGUGGAGCAUGUGGUUUAAUUCGAUGCAACGCGAAGAACCUUACCUGGUCUUGACAUAGUGAGAAUCCUGCAGAGAUGCGGGAGUGCCUUCGGGAAUUCACAUACAGGUGCUGCAUGGCUGUCGUCAGCUCGUGUCGUGAGAUGUUGGGUUAAGUCCCGCAACGAGCGCAACCCUUUUCCUUAUUUGCCAGCGGGUUAAGCCGGGAACUUUAAGGAUACUGCCAGUGACAAACUGGAGGAAGGCGGGGACGACGUCAAGUCAUCAUGGCCCUUACGACCAGGGCUACACACGUGCUACAAUGGUAGGUACAGAGGGUUGCUACACAGCGAUGUGAUGCUAAUCUCAAAAAGCCUAUCGUAGUCCGGAUUGGAGUCUGCAACUCGACUCCAUGAAGUCGGAAUCGCUAGUAAUCGCAGAUCAGAAUGCUGCGGUGAAUACGUUCCCGGGCCU